GUGCUUGCUUCAGCACAAAUACUAAAAUUGGAAUGAUACAGAGAAGAUUAGCAUGGCCCCUGUGCAUGACACCCAAAUUCACGAAUCAUUAAAAAAUAAA
This 100-nucleotide small nuclear RNA is filed under the name Myotis davidii. Lineage: Eukaryota; Metazoa; Chordata; Mammalia; Chiroptera; Vespertilionidae. The record is from RNAcentral.